Panicum virgatum (switchgrass) is the source of this 485-nucleotide long non-coding RNA. RefSeq lists it as uncharacterized. Lineage: Eukaryota; Viridiplantae; Streptophyta; Magnoliopsida; Poales; Poaceae. The transcript is spliced from 3 exons. The record is from RefSeq and is a predicted model, not a curated record.
AAGCUACUAACCUGGCUUUUUGCACAGUGAUGGACUUCAUUUCAUUUCAAUUUAUUGAUCCUCUUUUUUACUAGAAAGCUACUAGCCUGGCUUGAUUAAAUUUAAUUCAUUUCAAUGGACUUCUCAUAUCAUUUUGUGUGCAGGAAGUUGCUUGCGUGCACAAUAAUCAAAUGAAAACAAUUAGUUUGUACUCAUUUCGUGAACUUAGCUCUGCCAUCUUUGCAUUUGGAGGAUUUCAUUUGCCUUCUUUCCCAUGUAAAUUCUAAACUUUGCUCACUACUCUUUCUUUUCAGCAAAAAUCUGGAAUAAUGGAGAAGAAGAAUAAGAUAGUAGAAGAGUGACAGAUUGCUGCAACCACUUAGCUCACGAGAUGACCAUCUAUCUGCACUUGUCUUUCCCUUUGUCCUGCUAAUUUAGUAUCAGGUACUGAAAAUUCUCGUAUUUGGUUGAGAUCUAAACUAGGCAUAAGGUAGUGGAAAUGGAUC